Molecule: antisense RNA, 77 nt
Filed under: Medicago truncatula (barrel medic)
Lineage: Eukaryota; Viridiplantae; Streptophyta; Magnoliopsida; Fabales; Fabaceae
Description: lncRNA gene26008
Rfam family: Antisense RNA which regulates isiA expression
Source: RNAcentral
AGAAGAAAAGCCCCUAAUCCUAACAAAGUUAAGUGAAUACUAAAAAUAGUAAUCAUUUAUUUGUUUUUAUCUUUCCA